Molecule: long non-coding RNA, 1104 nt
Organism: Arachis duranensis
Lineage: Eukaryota; Viridiplantae; Streptophyta; Magnoliopsida; Fabales; Fabaceae
Exons: 3
Source: RefSeq, a predicted model, not a curated record
UGGUUUCUAUCUCAGAAACAACUCCCAUCAUUUUAUACAUUAGAGAUGUUGAGAGGCCUGUUCUACAAUCUCCAAGGUGGAAGCCAUCAAAAGAAUUGCUGAGUAUGUUGCUCAACUGAAAAAGAGUUGGAAAAGGACAUGGUGGUUUAUUACCCAAGUUUAGUAUGGCUCAAGAUAACAUAUGCGAUCUUCGGUGGUGACUUUUUAAGGUAAUUAAUAUUUUUUUAAACUUCAAAUUAUAAACUUAUUUUGAUAUGAUUCAUUGGUCUUUGAUAUUGCAGGACCACUUUGAGUUUGUCCACGGAAAAAAGCAGAAGAUGUACAAUGCUUGGCAGGUGAGAGCUGCCAAGCGCCUCUGGGAGAUACUAGCAAACACCUGCAACAAGUGUGCUCUUACAGAUUGGAUCUCAAACGAUAUCCUCGCCCAGCUAAAGUUGUAUUGGAACAUAGGGGAUUAUUGGGCAAUCCGGGCUAGGGUCCGAGCCAGUCGAGCAUUUCAGAUAGAUGGAUCAGUGCACAUCGGAUGGUCCACCACCUACAAGGAAAUCGAGAAGAAGAUGGUUCGUAUCAUUUAAAGUUUUAAUUGUUAACUUAAUUUGUUUAUUUUAUUAUUAAUAAGGUUGAAACUAAUAUAAUGACUUCUUGAAAUUCUAUACCCUAUGGGCAAAAGAUCUAACUAGGUCGCAAACCUCGUUAGAGCGAGGUCUUUUAGAUAACGCACAUAAGGAAGGAUUACUGGGUAAACAAACGGUUUAAGGACACUUCUAUAAGCUCAACAAACCUAAAUAUAUCUAAACAAAUUAUAUUCAUUUGUUUAUUUAACUUUGUGUUCAUCAAUAUUAUUUGAUUUUAGAUUCAAUUUGACGUUCGGCUAGCCAAGGCCCAGCAGGAGCAUGCAACUCAAAUUGCAUAGGGCCCUAAGCCUCCAUCCAUAUCUAAGGAUAAGAUAUGGAUGCAGACAGUUGGCAACCGCAAGCGAGGGAGGGUCUAUGAAUGGUAUGUCAAUCCACCAUGACUACUCCGCAAUUUUUUUAUAUUGAAUUCAUUGCCAGCGGAGGUGUGGAUAUUAGAGAGUAGGUUACCCUAUCCAACAGGGAGCUACAA